AAGCAGUUGUGGAAAACUGCUUUAAAUGUCAUAGAGCACUCAGAAGGAAUUCAUAAAUGACCUCAUAAAGAAGUCCACUGUGGUUUCCCUGCAGAGGUGGGAAUAGAAUCAGAGUGCUAAGGAUUGAGGGAUUAAGAGGAGGUGAUUGUAUUAUUCCUCUUUUCAGAUAAUGGAGAGAGAGAAGAGAACAGCAGUAGCCGUUGCCAGAAAUAUUGAGCAAGGCGGAUUUAUUAGAUGAAGAUAUCAAAAUACUUUCCAUUGAGGAAACAGGUUGGAGGUGGGAGGCUGUAACCAUGCUUGAUUUUGUACCACCCUAACCUUUGCUUGAUCCAGGUUCCAGUCCAAUAUGCACCAUUCAGCCUGGUUGCAGCAUGUUAAGCAGCCCUGGAGGCAGCAGAUGAGGGAUCCUAUGAAGCAACUUUCAGACAUUCAGAACCAAGACAAAAAAAAAGAGAAUUAAAGUAAAAUAUGAUGUACCCAGGAGUUACAUCAGUGAACCAAAUACAGCCUCAAAUUUCGAUCUGUGCUUCACAGCAGCCAGCAAAAAGAACAAAACAUAUUUUGUUAGUUCAUAUAAAUAAAUAAAUUAAAAAUGCAUGAAUAAAUAAAUAAAGCAAACCAGUUUCUCGAUUCUGAAAUAUUUUCUGGAAGUGAGAACUGAAAGGAAUUUCCACCAUGGACCCACAAGCAGUUGUUGGUGGCAUAUAUAAUGAGUGCUGGGUGUUAAGGAAGCAAUGGUGAAGGAGAGACACCCUCCCGACCCUCAUGGUGCUUGCAGCCUAGUGGAGCUAUGAAAAGAUAGGCAAGUGAGUCCUAUGAUUGGAGAAGUAAUGAGAAGUAAUGAGAAGCGUCUUCUAAGCAUAGGGGUAAAGACUGCAAAGACCCUGAAGGGAGAAAGUAAUGGCCAUUCUGAGAACUGAAAGUUUGCACAGUGCACAGAGGGCAUGAAGAACGAAGGAAAGAUGGCAAGUUGCUUAAAACCUAAAGCUCCUUUCAAUUCUUUACAAUCCAAGAUUAUAUGGAAUGGACUGGGAACAAAGAGAGGGACUGGCAUUUAAAGUCUUUUAUACACUUUGGAACAAAUGUUAUUCUCCAUUCAUCCUGACACUAAAUUGGUUAGCCAAACCCAAAGAUCUACUAAUAAUCCUGCUUUGGCAUGGGAGAAUGAGUGAGAUAAGGAGGCAAUAGAGGAGAUGAAUCGACAAAUGGAAGGAAUAGAAUUCUGGUUGAUGUCCUUGUCUCUAAGCUGUAGCAGCAAGUAUUUAUCCUAAUCAUGUGGUGUUAGCACGGAGAUGAGAAAGAGAGAAAGACAACAUCAUGCUUUGCUGUCUGUGUGUGAACUGAGUAACAGCUGUGAAGGAUCAGUCACCAAAAGACUUUGAAAGAAGAGGCUUGAUUGGUCACGGUAAUGAUGCUCCCCUGGCCAUGGAAGUUUAAUUGGGAGAAAAGAACAUCUGCUUAUACGAAAACAUAUUAUAUUCAGCCAUCCCUGCCCUGACUUUGGCCUUUAAAAACAGUGGCAUUAAUUAUCUCAACAAAUGAAUCUUCGGGAUAAAAAUAAUCUAAAUAUUAUUUUACGCUUACUACAUAUUUGCAACGUGCUAAGCUCUUUAUGGUUGCUACCACAAAAAACAUUUAUAAUAUGAGACUUCACAAGGUUAGGAACAGGCUUCACUUCAUUGUGAUGUGUGUAAGGUGACAGAGGACAUAUAACGAAUACGUGGAAGAACUAGGAAUUUGACCUUAGCUUCCAGACAUUUUGAGGAGGAUACACUAUGUCCAUCUUGCUUUCCUAUCAAGAAAAGUAUACCCAGUUUGUGCAGUAGCCCUGUACCAACAGAUACAUUACAGCAGGUUGUUUCCGUAUUUUGGCUAUUGUGAAUAGUGCUGCAAUAAACAUGGAAGUGCUGAUAUAUCUUUGAGAUCUUGACUUCAAACAAAAGAAGAAAAUCUUGCAAUAUAUGACAACACGGAUUAACCUGGAGGACAUUGUGCUUAGUGAAGUUAGCCAGUCACAGACUGACAAGUACUGCACGAUUCCACUUAUGAAGACUACAGUUCCUAUCUUCACAGGUGGCUGUUAGCUCUAAAUGAACUCAUUUAUUUUGAAAGCAUGAUUUAAAGUAUAGUUUUAAACUAUAAGCAUUUCAGAAGUGAUGACCCAUGACUCAAAUCUCAAAAAUAAAUGCUACAGUUCACAGUUGGAAUAUGGACACAAGAAAAAUAAUAGAUGAUGCCACUGAAAGGUAAACAUACCAUUCUGACAUGCAUGAAAAUGAAACGACAAAUUGAUACACGCAGUGCUUGGAAUGGAUGGAGUCCUUCUAAUGAGUGAUUACCUGUGGUAUAACUAUAUUGAUUGUGUUUGUACAUGUCAAAUGGGGCUGGCGAGGAUGAACUUGAAGAAAUCAAUCUUGGAACCUGCUAGGACAGCAGCCUCCUGGUUUCACAGUACUAAAUCAUGACUUCAAAAUUUUGAAGUAAAAGAAAACUGCAAAACUUUGUAAAGGUACCAGUCUCUUCCUGACACUAUUUGCCUUGGCAAAAGAUUCACUGUCAACUUAAAAGACUAACAUGUGCUCAGAUGAUGAUUUGUGGAGGACAGAUAAUUAUGAGUACAUUUAGAAAUACACACUCUUCCAAACCCUGCUCUUUCCAUAUAAUGAAGUUAUUUAUUUCUAUUUUUUAUUUAUUUUUCUAAUAAUUACAAACAUACUUUGGAGACCCACAUUCCUGUAUUAUUCUUUCAACAUACUGAAGAAGAGUUAUUUCUAUGCUUCUUUCUAUGUGUUGGGCUUAAGAUUUAUUAGAAGGAAUGUGUAAAAACAAAGGCAGCAAAGUUUCUAUUUUUAUUGGGAGUCACUCCCGGAGUAAGUGGGGAUAGUUGUGCACACACACACACACACAUUCAUGCACAAAGAAAGAGUGAUCAAGUGUAUAACACACUUUUAGCAGUGUUUUGCUGGAAGAAUAAAGUAUAACUCCUUGUCCGCCCUUUUAUUAUACUGGGGUUCACACUAAGAGAGUCUGAGGACCUGUGGAACUCCCAUUUGCAUGAAAUAACUUUUGCAUCUAUUCUGGAGGAAAACUUCCUAAGGCAGAUUUGGACAGAAAAUUGCUAUCAGCGCAAAUAAAACAAUGCAAAGCCUACUCCGGGGAACGUUGCUCUGCCACCACUACUGAAAUGGGUCAUCCCCUUGGUUUCUGAAUAAAGAAUUAUGAAACCUGGGGCUAGAAUGCUCAGGGAGGAAUUUACCAAUCCAAAUCUUCCCCUUAUGGUAGAGAACAAACUUUCAAGGUUUGUUCUCCACUGUAAGUGUGCGAGGGCUGUUAGGGACCGUAAUAUGGCUGCCGGAGACUGGUGUGUGUACCUCCUUGACUGUACGUCUCAUUUCCAGUUAUGAUUUUACAAUCAUCUCUUUCUCAACCUUUGCUUUUAAAUAUAGGAAGGUACGGCUCACCAUGGAGCGGACAUUUUCUUCAGGAGCGGUACGGUGUCUAAGAUAUGCAGAGGUUGUAUUCUAGUCCUAUAACUCAAUUCUCAAACACAUGGCUUUUAGCCAGGGAUAUCCUAAAGGAAAAUUACACUAUAUGCAACCCCUCCUUACUCCUCAAAUAUUAUCUAUAUUAAACACAGCUGAAAUUUGAGAGUGUCCUUACAGGUGAAAAUUUAACAAUUUAACAAAAGGACACUGCUGAAUGUGUGGGGACAAAGGAAGGAUGAAUCUUUCAUCAUGACAAAAGACUACUUGCCACAUUCUCCCUUAACUUAGAAAAACA
Molecule: long non-coding RNA, 3780 nt
Filed under: Homo sapiens (human)
Lineage: Eukaryota; Metazoa; Chordata; Mammalia; Primates; Hominidae
Description: HSALNT0333229
Source: RNAcentral